Molecule: ribosomal RNA, 779 nt
Filed under: Salmonella enterica subsp. enterica serovar Kentucky
Lineage: Bacteria; Pseudomonadati; Pseudomonadota; Gammaproteobacteria; Enterobacterales; Enterobacteriaceae
Description: partial 23S ribosomal RNA
Rfam family: Bacterial large subunit ribosomal RNA
Source: RNAcentral
GAGCGUCGUUUGCGACGCCCAACACACAAAACAAGCGGUGAGUGCUUUGGGGUGGGGUGACUGCGUACCUUUUGUAUAAUGGGUCAGCGACUUAUAUUCUGUAGCAAGGUUAACCGUAUAGGGGAGCCGAAGGGAAACCGAGUCUUAACUGGGCGUUAAGUUGCAGGGUAUAGACCCGAAACCCGGUGAUCUAGCCAUGGGCAGGUUGAAGGUUGGGUAACACUAACUGGAGGACCGAACCGACUAAUGUUGAAAAAUUAGCGGAUGACCUGUGGCUGGGGGUGAAAGGCCAAUCAAACCGGGAGAUAGCUGGUUCUCCCCGAAAGCUAUUUAGGUAGCGCCUCGUGAACUCAUCUUCGGGGGUAGAGCACUGUUUCGGCUAGGGGGUCAUCCCGACUUACCAACCCGAUGCAAACUGCGAAUACCGAAGAAUGUUAUCACGGGAGACACACGGCGGGUGCUAACGUCCGUCGUGAAGAGGGAAACAACCCAGACCGCCAGCUAAGGUCCCAAAGUCACAGUUAAGUGGGAAACGAUGUGGGAAGGCUCAGACAGCCAGGAUGUUGGCUUAGAAGCAGCCAUCAUUUAAAGAAAGCGUAAUAGCUCACUGGUCGAGUCGGCCUGCGCGGAAGAUGUAACGGGGCUAAACUGUGCACCGAAGCUGCGGCAGCGACGCUUAUGCGUUGUUGGGUAGGGGAGCGUUCUGUAAGCCUGCGAAGGUGUCCUGUGAGGGAUGCUGGAGGUAUCAGAAGUGCGAAUGCUGACAUAAGUAACGAUAA